This 590-nucleotide ribosomal RNA is filed under the name uncultured Pseudozyma. RNAcentral describes it as "LSU rRNA". It matches the Rfam family "Eukaryotic large subunit ribosomal RNA", at positions 81 to 657 of the family's 3401-position model. Lineage: Eukaryota; Fungi; Basidiomycota; Ustilaginomycetes; Ustilaginales; Ustilaginaceae. The record is from RNAcentral.
UAGUACGGCGAGUGAAGCGGCAACAGCUCAAAUUUGAAAUCUGGCUCUUUCAGAGUCCGAGUUGUAAUUUGCAGAGGGCGCUUUGGCUUUGGCAGCGGUCCAAGUUCCUUGGAACAGGACGUCACAGAGGGUGAGAAUCCCGUACGUGGUCGCUAGCUAUUGCCGUGUAAAGCCCCUUCGACGAGUCGAGUUGUUUGGGAAUGCAGCUCUAAAUGGGAGGUAAAUUUCUUCUAAAGCUAAAUAUUGGCCAGAGACCGAUAGCGCACAAGUAGAGUGAUCGAAAGAUGAAAAGCACUUUGGAAAGGGAGUUAAAAGUACUUGAAAUUGCCAAAAGGGAAGGGUAGGAGGUCAGAGAUGCGUCUUGGGAUUCAGCCUUGCUUUUGCAUGGUGUUUUUCCCAAGUUGCAGGCCAACGUCGGUUUUGGGCACUGGAGAAGGGUAGGAGGAACGUGGCACCUCUCGGGGUGUGUUAUAGCCUCCUACUGGAUACAGCGACCGAGACCGAGGAACGCAGCGUACUCGUAAGAGCGGGCCUUUUGGCACCUUUACGCUUAGGGCGUUGGCAUAAUGGCCCUCUACCACCCGUCUUGA